CAGGGAGACAACAAAAUGUUUAAUAUUAUUAUUUUGUCACCUUAGGUCGAUCGGUAUCUCACGUUUUUAAUUUAUUAAGAAUUUCAUUUCCUAAGUUUUUCUAGGUCACACCCAUUAUUUUUCCUGGGCCAUUAGCUCAGGUGGUUAGAGCGCACCCCUGAUAAGGGUGAGGUCCCUGGUUCAAGUCCAGGAUGGCCCAUAUCUCUAUGUUGGGGGUAUAGCUCAGUUGGUAGAGCGCCUGCUUUGCAAGCAGGAUGUCAGCGGUUCGAGUCCGCUUACCUCCACUGAUUACCACCUCUUCCAUAAUUUGAAGAAAGGAAACUUUUUGAGUUGUGAUCAAAUUCUGAACGAAUCUAGCUUCCUAAUGAAUCCAUUAAGAUGCUGGACUCAUUGAAUUAAUUUUCAUUGUUUUCAGAGAACCUUGACAACUGCAUAGAUUAUUUUUAAAGACAAUAAGCAUCUUUAAUGAUGCAGAUUUAUUAUUUGUGCGAAUGCAUUAAUAACAAUUCUAUUAAGCUGAUGCUUCAAUUUAAUGAAGUUAUU
This 543-nucleotide transfer RNA is filed under the name uncultured cyanobacterium. Its description in RNAcentral is "partial 16S-23S ribosomal RNA intergenic spacer". The stretch from base 212 to 284 matches the Rfam family "tRNA". Lineage: Bacteria; Bacillati; Cyanobacteriota. The record is from RNAcentral.